GAUUACAUAGCAGGGUGAGAUAGAUGAUACAGUAUGGUGAGAGAGAUUACAUAGCAGGGUGAGAUAGAUGAUACAGUAUGGUGAGAGAGAUUACAUAGCAGGGUGAGAUAGAUGAUACAGUAUGGUGAGAGAGAUUACAUAGCAGGGUGAGAUAGAUGAUACAGUAUGGUGAGAGAGAUUAUACAGUAUGGUGAGAGAGAUUACAUAGCAGGGUGAGAUAGAUGAUACACUAUGGUGAGAGAGAUUACAUAGCAGGGUGAGAUAGAUGAUACACUAUGGUGAGAGAGAUUACAUAGCAGGGUGAGAUAGAUGAUACACUAUGGUGAGAGAGAUUACAUAGCAGGAUGAGAUAGAUGAUACACUAUGGUGAGAGAGAUUACAUAGCAGGAUGAGAUAGACCAUACAGUAUGGUGAGACAAACUAACAGUAUGGUGAGACACACCAGACGGGGACUAAACUAGUUUGGCAAUUAGUCAGCCAGCCAUUUCUCGUCUUCAAAAGUACGAUUGCAUGACUGCUCUGCUCCUUUGAACAGGGUGUCCGCAAUGGUUUGAGAAGAGUGUGAUGGAUGAAUACAUAUACAGAGAAAGAAUAAACGUUAGGACAAAUAAAGGAGGAGACUGACAGGAGUUUUGUUUUGGACAAGAAGAACUCCAGUUAGCUUGUCAUCCAGCUAUAUCACAUUCUAAUCUCUGACACCGGGUAGAGAUGUUUCGUUCAAGUGUUUGUAAAUCUGGGUCACUAUCUUCCCAGCAUGCCAGUAUCUGGGUCAGACGUGACCGAGUUCCUCAGCUAAGUGGUUUUAAUAGACGGUCCUCGACUUCCUACACGUUGGUACGUUGGUACUGAAGUAUGUCAAGUGAGUCUAAAGAAGCUUCCUUCUAAAAUUAGUCCUGACACUGAAGAAGCUUUAGUCUGCGGCCGGAAGAAACAACCGAUCAACUUGGUUUCUGAUACAAAUCCACGAGCCAUCACGCUUCUCCGCAAGAUCACUGUGACCUUCGACCUUCGACCUGUCGUCCAUCGCUGCCGUCUGUGAGAUAAACAACGGCGCAAGGCAACGACAGCGAUGACCAUGGCUGCUGGCUGAGCAUCCUUACAGAAUGGUGUUGAUGUAUUGUUGUCCCUGCCGGAGCACAACUGAUGUUUCUUGGUGAGAUGACAGCGAUUCAUCACUGGUCUGGGGGAUGUUCUUGGCCGUUGCUAACCAUGCACUCCAGUCCCUGCAUUAUUAUUUUCAAGAGAGUUUCUCUUGGAAUUACACUCCCUCGUUCUUGUAAAAAAAAUCUGCUGAAGGAGAGAAAGCAUCUCAGAAUGAGACAUUUUUGAUUCACAAGCUGCAGUCUUUGACAACAAUGGCGACAGUGGCAGCUGCUGUGCGAACUCUAUUUCAGUCAGUUAAUGAUGCUGUCUGAUCUCAUUCCAGCAGACGACAGAAGAUAAAAUAUGUAGGACCACCUCAGACAACCCAAUCUAGACCGUUUAUCAUUAUUCUUGUUUUUGUACCGAGUUGUACCUCAUCACAGCGCGCGAUCGGACCAAAGAAAAAAAUGUUAGAACUCAUGUCAUCCGUAUUCUAAUACACUGUCGUUACAUAACAUCAAAACAUGGCAGUGUAAUUACUGUUUUAUUUAAGGUGAAGGUAAACAAGAGAGAGAGAGAGAGAAAAGCACGCGAUGCCAUGUUUAGCAAUCACGGUUUUCGAUCAAAGCCCAUCCGAGCGGAAUCUCAAGUUAACCAACAUCAAACCGCGACAAUAAUUUAACAAAUGACAGAUUAACGACUCCAAUAGCUAUUUAAUACUUUUAAAAAAGAAAACAGUAGCUGGAGAAGGCUUCACAGCUUGGUGACGUCAGCUGGCAAUCAGUGGCGACCAGGGACGUUAAUACAAGUUCACGGGGUGACCCCAGCUUGAAUGAGAGGUCAUCGUUGGGGGUCAGCACUCGACGGUCAUGCGCAGUGGUCGUGGCGAUGCGUCUUUGUGAAUGACUCCGCGAUCAAAACAUCCGGCUGUGUAGUAGCAAUCUCCGCCCGAUACCCUCCGACCCUUCCCGCUCCACAUCCUCCCCACCAUCUCUCUCCCAGCAGCGCCUGCGUCACAACGAUGGAGGUCAGCGGUUGCUGCUGCAGGGGUUCGUCGUCGUCGUCGUCAUCACACCAGCGACAUGGCGUCUGUCUGCACUGGUCCUGCACUGGUCCUGCUCCAGGCCUUGGUCUGGAUGUCCGUGUGUCAGACCAGAUGUCGACCUCCACUUCCCACCGCUACGUCGAUAAAUCGAAAACUCAAGCAGCUGCAGCUUUUGCUCCUCCAUCAACACGAGAGCUCGCAUCAUCUGCUCCUCCUCUUCACGUUGAGAAUGAAACCGGAAGUGCAUUCAACCAGCGGCCGUGUUACCGCGGGAACAUUCACCUGACAGCAAGAUGGAUGUCCGCGUGGUUCGAGAUGAAAACAAAAGUCUUGUGAGCCGCAGCGAGGUCGAAGGCCUUGACCUGAGUGACAUCAUGGGGUUGAGGUGACGUUCUCCUCCUGGCCCCGAGGAUCCCACAGCGCUGGACUAUUGUUGAUUGUAGUGAACAGUUGCGGGUAGAGCCGACAUAACGUACAGACUGGUGUUAUUCAUCCAUUUAUUCCACCUUCGUCUGGUACCAGUUGUUGGGGGUUGGGUGAGCACAUGGACUGACGAGCCCCGCCACUCACACCUGUCGUGGGCGAUGAUGAGCAGGUUCUGGAGAUGACGACCAGUCCAGUCUUUGACAGUCGUUAGCGAGGUCUUUCUCUGGCCACCCUGGUGUCCUCUACCUCCAUUGUACCUUGAAUGACAGACAGUCCGACAGGAGGUCGUGCCGAGUCAUCACGGGGGUCAACAGACUAAUCAACGCCGCUUGACUAUUGUACGAGUGUUGCCCAGCUUGCAGUAUCAGAGUCUUCGUCUUGUCCUCAAAAAAACUCCACAAGAUAUUAUUUACUCAACAUUGUGGAGGAUAUAAAAGAACGACAUCACUACUAUUUCUCUUCACCAACCUUGCUGCAAACAGUCACACAGCCCUCGACCCACGAAUGUUCAUUGGUGGACACCAGGACACCUUCCUACCACGUGUUCUGGACGCCGUAGUCAGCAUGCCAAGUACAGGUGUGGCGCCUGGAGAGAGAUGGCGAGCACGUGUGUGGUGGAUGCCUACACAGAAGUAGACUCCCUGAAUAUAAAUCGAAUUUUAACCUUAGUUAUUUGUUGUUCAAAAUUUUUAACUGGGGGAAACGCUAUUUUUACACUUCUAAUUAGAUCAACGAAGAGGAAUAGAUAGAUAGAAUUAGAUCAACCUUGGGGAAGAUCAGCCAAGGCGCAUGCGCAAAGGAAAAACGGAUGUUAUCAGCAUCUUGAUCACGUGACUGGAGUCAGCCGACCACAAGAAGCUGGUAGCACGAACACGUCACGAAAUCCCUGGUGUGGACCAACCACAGCGCCGUCCAGCAAGCAGCACAGUCAGAACGCAUGCCGCGAGCGGGUACGGGUGUAGGGAGGGGGAGAAGGAGGAAGUCAGUCUUCUCUUACCUCACCCUUUCUUCAAAAAAAAAAAAGAGAAAACAAAAUGAAGACGUGGGAGAGAUGAAGAUAGGGAAGGAGAGGGUCACGGCUGCCAAUCAUGUUGCUGGAGGAGGCAUGUCAGCUAUUAAAGUGAUUCAUCUUCUAACACCCGUCCUUCCCCGCUAAUCCCAGAUUUUAAGAAGGAAAAGAAGAAGAAGAAAAAAAAACCCAAUCAAACCCACGAUGUAUACUUAACGGCGCUCCGGAGAGAACCACACAACAACAACCUCCGGCGCGUUCUUGCGAAGAUUUAUCGGCUUAGACAGGUCAAGCAAACAAGCCCACGAAAGCCAUUGUCAGUCCUCAAACAGUAUAAGAAGAUUUUGUGAGAAUAAUAUUCUAAGCAAAGAAAGAGGGGAAAAAAAGACAGGAAAAAAACAGAAUCUUACUCAAAAUACGCAAAUACAACCACACACACACACUCUCUCUCCCCUCCAUCUACACAAAUACCAAAACACUCAUUUAAAAAUUUACAAAAAUAAAUCAAGAUCAGACUAGACAUCUACCAUCUCCACACCAUCUGAGUUCUUGUCUGUCUAUCCCUCCAUACCAUCUGAGUUCUUGUCUGUCUAUCCCUCCACACCAUCAAAAUAUUCCCCCUAUCGCGAUAUCAGAAAGAUUUACAGAGGACUCGGCUACUUCCAACAAAUAUUGCGAAGGCGGUGAAUCCAAAGAAAGAUGUUCAUCAACAACCAACAAUCUUUUUACAUGUUUAAUGAGCAGCUUCUUCUGUCGGUGUGUGACAGCCACAACACAAGACGCCAACGGAACAUGGCAGCAAAUCCAGACAGUCGAUGUGUGGAUUAAAAACAAGCAAGUAAACAACAUCAACAGUCAGAAAAGUCCCUUGAAAACCCGUCUUUACGACAUCACGGGAGGAGGUCGGCGAGUAGUUGUUGCGAAAUUUAAACUUAGCUCCACCCACCUCCUCCACUCCGAGACUAUUUCUAAAGGUUCAGCAGACAUUAGAGGAUCACCUGGCGACCCCACCUGGCGGUAAGAGCGGUGAGCUCAGGUAGUCACAAGUCCACGGCCUCCGCAGAAUGUCUUUUAGUAGUUUGUUUGUUGGCGGCGAUCCUUCCUUUCAUCCCGCCGUGCACUCGCUCACCCCCUGGAUGCUCGUCUGUGUGAGAGAGAGAGAUGGUCUUCGAUUUUGGUUCAUUGUUGUCCCAGCCUCCAAUCGCGACAACAAAAA
Pomacea canaliculata is the source of this 4779-nucleotide long non-coding RNA. RefSeq lists it as uncharacterized. The transcript is spliced from 5 exons. NCBI's taxonomy places the organism in Eukaryota, Metazoa, Mollusca, Gastropoda, Architaenioglossa, Ampullariidae. The record is from RefSeq and is a predicted model, not a curated record.